Molecule: unclassified non-coding RNA, 330 nt
Filed under: soil metagenome
Description: partial contains 5.8S ribosomal RNA, internal transcribed spacer 2, and large subunit ribosomal RNA
Rfam family: 5.8S ribosomal RNA (bases 1-121)
Source: RNAcentral
GAUGAAGAACGUAGUGAAAUGCGAUAAGUAAUGCGAAUUGCAGAAUUUCCGUGAGUCAUCGAAUCUUUGAACGCACAUUGCGCCCCUUGGUAUCCCGAGGGGCAUGCCUGUUCGAGCGUCAUUUCACCACUCAAGCCUGGCUUGGUGUUGGGCGACGUCCUCUUUGGGGACGCGCCUCGAAACGCUCGGCGGCGUGGCACCGGCUUUAAGCGUAGCAGAAUCUUUCGCUUUGGAAGUCGGGGCCCCGUCUGCCGGAAGACCUGCUCGCAAGGUUGACCUCGGAUCAGGCAGGGAUACCCGCUGAACUUAAGCAUAUCAAUAAGCGGAGGA